RNAcentral lists this transfer RNA (72 nucleotides) under Clostridium sp. RNAcentral describes it as "tRNA-Glu". It matches the Rfam family "tRNA". Rfam says of the family: Transfer RNA (tRNA) molecules are approximately 80 nucleotides in length. Their secondary structure includes four short double-helical elements and three loops (D, anti-codon, and T loops). Lineage: Bacteria; Bacillati; Bacillota; Clostridia; Eubacteriales; Clostridiaceae. RNAcentral also lists the same sequence under 2 other names. The record is from RNAcentral.
GGCCCUAUGGUCAAGCGGUUAAGACAUCGCCCUUUCACGGCGGUAACACGAGUUCGAAUCUCGUUAGGGUCA